Molecule: non-coding RNA, 134 nt
Organism: Echinops telfairi (small Madagascar hedgehog)
Lineage: Eukaryota; Metazoa; Chordata; Mammalia; Afrosoricida; Tenrecidae
Source: Rfam
AAACUCCAUGCACUGCCCUAUGAUAAAGGUAAUAUUUGGAGAUUUGAAAAUUAUUUUUUGGUGAAGUUUUAGUGGUGAUGUACUCUCAAAUUUGUUAUCUCAUUUCUUCCCCUGGAUUAAAGAGAUCAGGCAUC